Molecule: non-coding RNA, 4256 nt
Organism: Equus caballus (horse)
Lineage: Eukaryota; Metazoa; Chordata; Mammalia; Perissodactyla; Equidae
Source: RefSeq, a predicted model, not a curated record
CGGGCCAGCCCCCUAUGUAAUUUAUUUUUCAAAACACAUUACAUUGUGAUCAUUUUCAUGUCAUUAAAAAUCUUCUAAUAUACUAUUUAAUGGUUGCAUAAAACCUUAUAUGCAAAUGAAUUAUAAUUUAUUUAAUCCUUCUUAUGGACAAAUAUUUAGGUUUACAACUUUCUGAUAUUAUUUAUAUACAUGUACAUAAUACUGGAACCUACUUCUCCAAUUAUUGUUUUAGGAUCAAUUUUUGGAAGUGAAGCAAAGGAUAGGAACUUAUUUUUAGGUUUUAAUAUAAUUUGCUACAUUAAUAUGACUAAUUUGGAGGUUUUUGUUUAUCACAAUGUAGUUUUGAAGAUGGUAUUCCAGACGUGAAGAAUAUUAGAAUUUUUUCUAAUUAUACUCAUGAUAUAAUGGCACUGUAUGUUGACAAUGACUUUAGAAUCCUCUCUACUCUGUGCUGUCUGGAGUAGAAACUACUGUCUUUGUUCCAGUCCUGUGGGACCCAACCCCUGACAUGAGUCAUCUGGACAGUAUGUGAGGAGAGAGCCAGGCCACUCAAUGUGGGAAUGCAAAGAAGGCCUAAGAGCUUGGAUGUAGUGAGAGAGAAGUUUAUAAGAUAGGGUAGGUAAAAUUUAAGGCAAUUCAUACCUGAUAGUUUCCAUUUCCUCUUUGAAAUAAGAGAUUAGGCUUUUCCAUAAGGAAAAGUAAAGGGGCCAGGAAAAGGUGGGAGGCUUGAACUGUAAAUGUCUGUAAUUGUUCAUUUAGAAGAGUAGAGGACAGGACAGACAACAUGUCAGUAACAAGCCCUGCCAAGUAGCAUUGAGGUCCUAGUUGAAGUUCAAAGUCAUCACACUGUAAUAGCAUUCACACAAUCAUAUCUCCUCCCAUGGUGAUUGGCUACUUAGGGAGGUAGGAGCGAUUCAAUGAUGUAGGUUUGAGAAACUGCAGGACACAUGGUAGAAAGUCAAGAUUAGCAGGGUUUAGUGAACUGGAGAGUGGAAAUUUGACAUGAAGAAAAGUGAGGUUUAGGUUGAAUAAGGAAGAAAGUAAGAGUAUAAGGAAUUGUUAGCUUGGAGAUGAGGGAAGGACUAAAGGAUAUGGAUUUCUGGAUGAGAUCCACGAGCCAGUGCUGUGAGAGUGAGGAAGUGAGAGUUAGCCCUGCCAAUCGUAGUUCAACGCUGUAAAUCAUUACAUCACAGUGUGAAUGAAGUUAUAUCAUAAAAGCUCACAAAUGGAUAAUGCCAUGUGUCAAUUCGAUUAUUCCCUCCUUGAAUUGACAAAUGAGUGCUGAACAUUCACCAUGUGUCAGGUGCUGUCCUAGAUCCUGGGGAUACAGAGGUAAACCAAACAAAGUCCUUGGCUUCAUGGAACUAAUAUGCUAGUGGAAGAGGAGAGAUAAACAAUAAACGGAAUAAAUGCAUAAACUAUGCAUCUUACAUAAAAUAUGUCAGAUGGUGAUAAGGAAGCAGGAGAGGAGAAUAGGGAGUAUUGAGGUAAGAGGGGGUUUGCAAUGUUAAGUAACAUGGACAAGAAGUAGAGGAAAAUGUGAUUGGAAUGAUGUGAAAGAAGGGACAAUGUCAUAUAAGCAGAAUCCAACUUAUAAAUGGGUUGAAUAUGUGGCUUUCCAAAUAGUCAUCUGUAUUUUGAUUAGUUAGAACUCAAGCUUCCUUUUCACAAAAAGAUGAGAUGAUUAAUUGUGAUUAGGGACCCAGGCAAUCCUGACUUCUUCACAAAAACACUUUCUAGGAUUCAUAACAUGUUGGAAAUGCCUUCCUUUACAACCCUGAGCUUCAAGUCCUUUUAAGAUUUUCUGGCCCCCAAGUCUAGAUUUUUUUUUUGAGUUCUGAGAAAAGAAGGGAGUCUGGUGAGCGAUGGAGGCUGGGAAUUUCUCAUGACAUUACAUCUGGGGGGAGCAGAGAAGUCAGAAGAGGGAAGAGGGGAGGUGACUCUAGUGCCUGGAGCCCUGACUGAGUUGCUGGGUGACUGUAAACAAAGGGUAGAAAGAAGCUCAGAAGCUCCAACAACAACUCCCCAAGGACACCUUGCAAAGCUUCUGGGCACAGGGAGGACACUGAGAAGACCUUGGCAGCAGUGGCUUCCUUUGGAAGCUUGGUGUUCAGAAAGUGGGAUGCUUGCCCUUGUUGAUUACCCUAUAAGCCAAUUUCUCAGGAGAUUCAGGUACUGAGUAUGGAGGCCACAGGAAAGUUUUCUACUUCUACUCUGGAAAUAAAAUGACUUCAGCAUCCAUGUAAUGAACAAGUAAGGAAAUUUCUGAUUGCUAUCUGACUUCCUGUAUGCGUCAAGGUUAGUGAAGUGGAUCCCGAGAAGAGGGGAAGAAAGAAAUGCACCAUCAGUUCACUGGGAAAAGAGUGGCAAGUAUGAACAGUAAAUGUAGACAACAAUUUCACUAGUUCUCAGAGGAAAUAUUCUUUGACUUAUUGCUGCUCUUUUUAACUCUACACUUUCAACUUACUCUUUUCACCAUAAAAUUUAAGCACACUUAAUCCUCUCUCAUCUUGAACAACAAAGUGAAAUAAACAUACAACUACCAUUUUUACAACACCCCCACCCCUGCCUGCAUCCCAGAUAGUACUGUGAAAGCAAGCUGUAUGUUUACUAACUCUAUUCAUAUUUGAAUUUCCCAGUGCCAUUUUAGUUAUGCUAUUCAGAUUCAAGGAAAGGGUUGUUUGUUCAAGCUUGUCCAGGUCAGUUUAAAGAGAACCAAUCCCAAAGAGCUCAUCAAGGAGGGGGCCAGUGUCAUGAGUGACACCUCAGAGAAGGGAGUAUCACAGCAUAGGAUCGGCACCAGAGGAUCCUGCCACCCUAGUCAUCAGGAAAGUCUCCUUUCUUGGCCACCUUUGUCAGUCUGCACCAUUCCUCUUAGAUUUUAAAGUCUGAAACCUUCUUGAGCAGCUUAAGAAAACAUAAGAUCCAAAGUUCUCAAAAUGUCAAAAAUAACCCAAAUAGAUGAUUCCCUUUAUUUUCAUAAAUGUAGCCACAAACAUGACAACUUGGGCAACUCUAUGCACUGUUUUACAUUUAGUGAUUUUUAUGACCCAAACUCUGCUAGGCAGAGUAAUAUAAUCAUUUGUAAUCAAUACCAAAAGAAUGCACCUGGUAUAAAAUGCAAAUUUCAAAAAUUGAGUAAGAUUGCAUGUUCUGGGCCUCCUAAGAUACUUGCAGACAUAAGAAUGCAAAACACUAAAGCGGCCAGUAGAGACAAUUGCUCUUUUCCUUGCUGUGAACAUGAAAGUGGGAAGCAGCAAAGAACAAUAAACAAAUGAACAUCCUUUUCAUAUUUCUUGCGACAGCUACCCGGAAUGGGUGGGGAAGAGAAAUGCAGAUAAGAAAAUUAAAACCACAGGCGCCUGGGGGCCAGUGACAGCCUUCUGAUCCUAAUUUCAUCUGGAGUUAGGAAGGCAGGGAAGUUCUAUAACAGUUUCCUCUGCAUGGCAGAGAGCUCCGACUUUUCUGGCAACAGCAUCUCCCUAGAAACUACACAAAGUCCCCUUUGAUUGCCUGUGAUCAAAGCCAUGAAGGCACUUCUGCAACGUCUUAGCUUCAGAAAGGCAGGAAAAUCAGAGUGCUGAGAGUGUAUCAAUAAUUCCUAAGCAUAUUUUUAAGGUGAGUGGUGCUUCUUAGAGAACUUCAUCAUUAUGAAAAAUGACUUGUUUCUGCCCUUCUUGUUGUACACCCGGGAAAAAAGUUAGCCUUAACUCUCCGAUUAGUAAGUUGCAUGUCAUGAUUGAUAUUGAAUAUGUGUAGUUAUUCUACUCAAAAUUUGUGCAGUUGAUCACAUAGAGCCAGAUAGCACUCAGUGAUGGGAGGUUCAAUAAACUGGAAGUCGGGAGACUCAGCUUUGUCAUCAAUUCAAUGUAGCCUAGUGGACAUGUCUAAUAGCCUUGGCCUCAGUAUCCCCACCUAUAAAAUGGGGUGAGGAGCUGGAGCUCAGUGCUCUCUGUGACUCCUUUGGGGCGUCCUCAUCAAAGAGGCUCCUAUUUGUUUGAUUCCACAUACCCUCAUUUAUAGCCAUGGCUGACCCUUGGCAAGACCGCCAAGUCCUGAGCUUUCUACUUGGUUUUCUUUCCUCCUCUUUCUGUGCCCUUUCUGCCAGGUUUGGUGUCUCUGUCAGCAGGAGAAGUACAGACAUCUUAAAAUGAAUUAGUAUGCAGCACCUGACCAAGAAAAAUUUGUAUCUUUAAAAAGUCAGCAAGCAAAAAAAGGAAAAAGAAGAAAAAAUGAAACCUGUAUAAAUGUGGGGA